UGUUUAACGGCCGCGGUAUUUUAACCGCGCGAAGGUAGCGUAAUCACUUGUCUUUUAAAUGGAGACCUGUAUGAAUGGCAUAACGAGGGUCUGACUGUCUCCUACACCUAGUCAAUGAAAUUGAUCUGCCCGUGCAGAAGCGGGCAUACCUACAUAAGACGAGAAGACCCUAUGGAGCUUUAGGUAAAUGAUCAAGCGAAACAAGUCACGGCCAUAGUAAAGGCCUAGAAAAACAAGAACUAAUGAUCAAGAUGCCUUCGGUUGGGGCGACCGUGGAGGAAACAAAAGCCUCCAAGUGGAAAGGGAAAACCCUUGAACUAAGAGAGACACCUCGAAGUAACAGAAUUUGUGACCAAAUAUGACCCAGGAUUUUAACCUGAUCAACGAACCCAGUUACCCUAGGGAUAACAGCGCAAUCCUCUCCCAGAGUCCCUAUCGACGAGGGGGUUUACGACCUCGAUGUUGGAUCAGGGCAUCCUAAUGGUGCAGCCGCUAUUAAGGGUUCGUUUGUUCAACGAUUAA
RNAcentral lists this ribosomal RNA (522 nucleotides) under Gymnothorax meleagris (turkey moray). RNAcentral's name for it is "partial 16S rRNA". It matches the Rfam family "Bacterial large subunit ribosomal RNA", at positions 1921 to 2591 of the family's 2925-position model. The record is from RNAcentral. Lineage: Eukaryota; Metazoa; Chordata; Actinopteri; Anguilliformes; Muraenidae.